UACGGGGGGGGCAAGCGUUGUUCGGAAUUACUGGGCGUAAAGGGCGCGUAGGCGGCCUUCUAAGUCGGACGUGAAAUCCCUCGGCUCAACCGAGGAACUGCGUCCGAUACUGGAGGGCUUGAAUCCGGGAGAGGGAUGUGGAAUUCCAGGUGUAGCGGUGAAAUGCGUAGAUAUCUGGAGGAACACCGGUGGCGAAGGCGGCAUCCUGGACCGGCAUUGACGCUGAGGCGCGAAAGCCAGGGGAGCAAACGGG
Molecule: ribosomal RNA, 253 nt
Filed under: uncultured bacterium
Lineage: Bacteria
Description: partial 16S ribosomal RNA
Rfam family: Bacterial small subunit ribosomal RNA
Source: RNAcentral